Molecule: ribosomal RNA, 475 nt
Filed under: uncultured bacterium
Lineage: Bacteria
Description: bacterial SSU rRNA
Rfam family: Bacterial small subunit ribosomal RNA
Source: RNAcentral
CUAUCAUGCAGUCGAGCGAACGGACGAGAAGCUUGCUUCUCUGAUGUUAGCGGCGGACGGGUGAGUAACACGUGGAUAACCUACCUAUAAGACUGGGAUAACUUCGGGAAACCGGAGCUAAUACCGGAUAAUAUUUUGAACCGCAUGGUUCAAAAGUGAAAGACGGUCUUGCUGUCACUUAUAGAUGGAUCCGCGCUGCAUUAGCUAGUUGGUAAGGUAACGGCUUACCAAGGCAACGAUGCAUAGCCGACCUGAGAGGGUGAUCGGCCACACUGGAACUGAGACACGGUCCAGACUCCUACGGGAGGCAGCAGUAGGGAAUCUUCCGCAAUGGGCGAAAGCCUGACGGAGCAACGCCGCGUGAGUGAUGAAGGUCUUCGGAUCGUAAAACUCUGUUAUUAGGGAAGAACAUAUGUGUAAGUAACUGUGCACAUCUUGACGGUACCUAAUCAGAAAGCCACGGCUAACUACGUGC